This 402-nucleotide ribosomal RNA is filed under the name bacterium. RNAcentral's name for it is "partial 16S ribosomal RNA". It matches the Rfam family "Bacterial small subunit ribosomal RNA", at positions 355 to 776 of the family's 1533-position model. The record is from RNAcentral.
UGGGGAAUUUUGCACAAUGGGGGAAACCCUGAUGCAGCGACGCCGCGUGAUUUAGAAGGCCUUCGGGUUGUAAAAAUCUUUUCUAUGGGAAGAAAAUGACAGUACCAUAGGAAUAAGGACCGGCUAAUUGCGUGCCAGCAGCCGCGGUAAUACGUAAGGUCCGAGCGUUGUCCGGAAUCAUUGGGCGUAAAGGGUACGUAGGCGGGUAAGCAAGUUAGAAGUGAAAUCCUAUAGCUCAACUAUAGUAAGCUUUUAAAACUGCUCAUCUUGAGGUAUGGAAGGGAAAGUGGAAUUCCUAGUGUAGCGGUGAAAUGCGCAGAUAUUAGGAGGAAUACCGGUGGCGAAGGCGACUUUCUGGCCAUAACCUGACGCUGAGGUACGAAGGCGUGGGUAGCAAACAGG